RNAcentral lists this ribosomal RNA (254 nucleotides) under uncultured bacterium. RNAcentral's name for it is "partial 16S ribosomal RNA". It matches the Rfam family "Bacterial small subunit ribosomal RNA", at positions 524 to 776 of the family's 1533-position model. The record is from RNAcentral.
UACGUAGGGUGCGAGCGUUGUCCGGAAUUAUUGGGCGUAAAGAGCUCGUAGGCGGUCUGUCGCGUCGAUCGUGAAAACUUGGGGCUUAACCCUGAGCUUGCGGUCGAUACGGGCAUGACUGGAGUUCGGCAGGGGAGACUGGAAUUCCUGGUGUAGCGGUGAAAUGCGUAGAUAUCAGGAGGAAUACCGGUGGCGAAAGCGACUCUCUGGACGGCAACUGACGCUGAGGCACGAAAGCGUGGGGAGCAAACAGG